UGCAAGUCGAACGGCAGCAUAGGUGCUUGCACCUGAUGGCGAGUGGCGAACGGGUGAGUAAUACAUCGGAACGUGCCCAGUCGUGGGGGAUAACGUAGCGAAAGUUACGCUAAUACCGCAUACGAUCUAAGGAUGAAAGCGGGGGACCGUAAGGCCUCGCGCGAUUGGAGCGGCCGAUGUCAGAUUAGGUAGUUGGUGAGGUAAAGGCUCACCAAGCCGACGAUCUGUAGCUGGUCUGAGAGGACGACCAGCCACACUGGGACUGAGACACGGCCCAGACUCCUACGGGAGGCAGCAGUGGGGAAUUUUGGACAAUGGACGCAAGUCUGAUCCAGCCAUUCCGCGUGCAGGACGAAGGCCUUCGGGUUGUAAACUGCUUUUGUACGGAACGAAAAAGCUCUUACUAAUACUAGGAGUCCAUGACGGUACCGUAAGAAUAAGCACCGGCUAACUACGUGCCAGCAGCCGCGGUAAUACGUAGGGUGCAAGCGUUAAUCGGAAUUACUGGGCGUAAAGCGUGCGCAGGCGGUUAUAUAAGACAGAUGUGAAAUCCCCGGGCUCAACCUGGGAACUGCAUUUGUGACUGUAUAGCUAGAGUACGGCAGAGGGGGAUGGAAUUCCGCGUGUAGCAGUGAAAUGCGUAGGUAUGCGGAGGAACACCGAUGGCGAAGGCAAUCCCCUGGGCCUGUACUGACGCUCA
This 700-nucleotide ribosomal RNA is filed under the name uncultured bacterium. RNAcentral's name for it is "bacterial SSU rRNA". It matches the Rfam family "Bacterial small subunit ribosomal RNA", at positions 56 to 749 of the family's 1533-position model. The record is from RNAcentral.